Molecule: ribosomal RNA, 252 nt
Filed under: uncultured bacterium
Lineage: Bacteria
Description: partial 16S ribosomal RNA
Rfam family: Bacterial small subunit ribosomal RNA
Source: RNAcentral
UACGUAGGUGGCAAGCGAUACUCGGAAUCACUAGGCGUAAAGCGCAGGUAGGCGGUUUGGUAAGUCUUUUGUGAAAGCUCCCGGCUCAACUGGGAGAGGCCAAAGGAAACUACUAGACUAGAGGUAUGCAGGGGAGAAUGGAAUUCCUGGUGUAGCGGUGAAAUGCGCAGAUAUCAGGAGGAACACCGGUGGCGAAGGCGGUCUCUGGGCAUUACCUGACGCUGAGGAGCGAAAGUGUGGGGAGCGAACAGG